UACGUAGGCAGCGAGCGUUGUUCGGAGUUACUGGGCGUAAAGAGUGCGUAGGCGGUUUUCGAAGUUUGGUGUGAAAUCUCCCGGCUUAACUGGGAGGGUGCGCCGAAGACUGGAAGGCUUGAGUAUGGGAGAGGUAAGCGGAAUUCCUGGUGUAGCGGUGAAAUGCGUAGAUAUCAGGAGGAACACCUGCGGUGUAGACGGCUUACUGGACCAUCACUGACGCUGAGGCACGAAAGCGUGGGUAGCAAACAGG
RNAcentral lists this ribosomal RNA (253 nucleotides) under uncultured bacterium. RNAcentral's name for it is "partial 16S ribosomal RNA". It matches the Rfam family "Bacterial small subunit ribosomal RNA", at positions 524 to 776 of the family's 1533-position model. The record is from RNAcentral.